This 270-nucleotide ribosomal RNA is filed under the name uncultured bacterium. RNAcentral describes it as "partial 16S ribosomal RNA". It matches the Rfam family "Bacterial small subunit ribosomal RNA", at positions 29 to 284 of the family's 1533-position model. The record is from RNAcentral.
AACGAACGUUAGCGGCGCGCCUAACACAUGCAAGUCGCACGAGAAAGGGCUUCGGCCCCGGUACAGUGGCGCACGGGUGAGUAACACGUAGGUAAUCUGCCCUGAAGUGGUGGAUAACUCUCCGAAAGGAGAGCUAAUACAGCAUAAGACCACGACGUCUCCGGACGUUGCGGCCAAAGCGGGCCUCUUCACGAAAGCUCGCGCUACAGGAUGAGCCUGCGGCCCAUCAGCUAGUUGGCGGUGUAAAAGACCACCAAGGCUAAGACGGGU